CCGCCGGCUCCAUCCCGCACGCCGACCGGCGUCUCCACCAGCUCAUGUAUGCCAGCGGCGACCAGGAGCGCGCAUUCCCAGCUCCCUCGGUGUCUGUCAAGAGCUAGGCCGAGCGCGGGUACUCGGUGUUCAACGUCCAUUCCACAAUCAUCUCUUGUACAGUGGCUGAGGAAGAUCCAGGAAAGAAAGAGCUGCGCAAGAGGGGGCAGGAUCAGGAAGAAGCACGGUGAUGGAACCUUAGCAGUAGACCAAAUGCAGACAUGUACAUAAGGGGAUCCGAUUACGAUUAGAUGAUGCAGACCGUGUCCUUGUCCAACAAAACUCAAUCGAGUGUUUGACCCGGAUUGUUCUUUUUUGCUAUAAGAAGGAAGAGUACUACGCUGGAAUCUCCAUCACGUUAAUUGUCGACGAAACAUCCAAUGUUUCCGCCGAGUUCGCAGCAGGAAGGAGCUCCGAGUUUGCCAAUGUCUGAUGCGGCGUCUACACCAGAGAUACGACAGUUAAGAGCGUCACGGGAGGAAGAAGCUCCGAGUUCGCCGGAGGUACACAAACAUCCGUCCAGCACUCCAAUGUCGCCUACGGCAUCUACACCAGAGCUCAUAGACUAUGUAGAAUAAAAUGAGGGCUAUGAUCCAGCCAACGUGCUCCUGCGCCACUCACGCACAGUCAUGAGUAUCAACAUUUGCUCUCCUGGUAGCAAAACGAAUAUCAUCAGAAGACUUAAAAAAUGGACUGCUUUGUGUUUCCAUCUUAUCCGCCAUAGACUAGCCAAAUUUGUCGCUGGAUGGGAUGUUUCCACUCAGAGUAAGAGUAUACGAGACAAUAAAACGGAGCGAUAUCUCUGGCGAUUUUCUUGCUCCCUAUCGGUAAACAAAUCAGAUGGAAGCAAUCAUGUUUAUGUAGGGAAGAUAAUCGCGGAGAUUGCCCUAUGUAGGGAAGAUAAUCGCCGAGAUUGCAGGGCAGUUAAGGCCGCGUGUCACAUGCAGGAAGAAAUUCCCGAGUUCAGCGGAAGGGAAGUAUAAAUAAUAAAGCAAGGCUGCUCGCACUACCCCAUUGACGCCCUGCAUAGGUCUCUUUCUUCUCUCUCUGGCCGAUCCUUUGUGGGCACGUUCAUCAGUCGUGGAAGAGAACCUGUAUACGUUGGGGAAACGACGGCAGCCGGGACGGGCUCACCGGUGUAAAGCACCUCAAGGCCGUCCUCUCGGCGACGCUGCGCUACGGUCGCCGUUGCCUCUGCGCUCCACUCGCCAUGUCCGUCGCACCCGCCGAGAUGGAUCUGAAUGAGAUAAAAGAAAAUGCAUGUGCUAUUAAUUUUACUGAAAUGAAGGAAUACAUCAUGUCCUUCCCUAGCAAAACCAAGUUAGUGAAUAUCCAUGACACAACCUUGACACAUCGAGAUUUGGAAUGUCUUUUAGAAGAUGAGAUAUGGGUGGAGAGCGAGGUCAGCUAAAAUAUAUUCCGAUGAUCAUACUUACACACUUCAAGAAUGUCUAAUUUAUUUGUUACUUUUUCUACUAUAGGUCAUAAAUGCAU
Molecule: non-coding RNA, 1533 nt
Organism: Aegilops tauschii subsp. strangulata
Lineage: Eukaryota; Viridiplantae; Streptophyta; Magnoliopsida; Poales; Poaceae
Source: RefSeq, a predicted model, not a curated record